Molecule: ribosomal RNA, 832 nt
Filed under: Eurypon sp. 2 CM-2010
Lineage: Eukaryota; Metazoa; Porifera; Demospongiae; Axinellida; Raspailiidae
Description: eukaryotic LSU rRNA
Rfam family: Eukaryotic large subunit ribosomal RNA
Source: RNAcentral
UUAGCAUAUCAAUAAGCGGAGGAGAGAAACUAACAAGGAUUCCCCCAGUAACGGCGAGCGAAGCGGGAAGAGCUCGAGCCUGAAAUCGCUGGCGGUUGCCGUCAGCGAGUUGUGGCCGGUAGAAGAUCACUUUGUUCCGCGCUUGCGGCGUCUAAGUUGACCUGGAAGGGCACGUCGCAGAGGGUGAGAGCCCCGUUGCCGGCCUCGCGGGCCGGGGCAUUGGUGGUCUUCGGAGAGUCGGGUUGUUUGGGAGUGCAGCCCAAAUACGGUGGUAAACUCCACCUAAAGCUAAAUAGUGGCACGAGACCGAUAGCGAACAAGUACCGUGAGGGAAAGGUGAAAAGCACUUUGAAAAGAGAGUCAAAGAGACCGCGAAACCGUUGGGAGGGAAACGAAUGCGGCCAUAAAGACUACCUUCGGGUUCAGGGCGUCUCGGCUUAGGCGUUGUCACUGGGGAGAACCCGCUUCGGGUCUGUCCAGGGCAAGCUCGCCGAGGCUUCCGCACUCCCGUUCGUAGUCCGCCAACGGCGGUCACUCGCGGUCCAACAGGGUCGUGGGGUUAGGUGCCUCCGGAGUCGGCAUCCUUUGGGUUGUCGAAGCGGGAGAACUUAGAGCCCUCGGCUCGGAGAUUGCGUGUGUCCGAGGAGCGCUUGCGACCAGUUCGCACGGUGUAGCGCAGGCCCUCCUGGGCCGGGUCGCUCUUGGGCCUGCGUGCUUCGCGGCGUGCUACUGCAUGCAGUGGCCGUUGACGAUCACGCGCGCUCGCCCGGGAGGUCGGCCACGAUGUGCGCUGUAUUCGUUGGUGUACGCAUGGCUCCAUCCGACCCGUCUU